GGGUCCGGGGAGGUGGUGGUGCGGGUCACGUCGGUGUGAGGAGAGGACAUUGGCGAGGGAGAGGGGGGGGGGGGGUGGUCCGGACCCAGAGUCCUGUUGAAUAUUGUCCGAUUUCUGGGUCUGGACGGCGGUCUCUGAUCCGGAGUCAGGUCAGAUCUCUGGGUCUGGAUGCUGGUCUCUGAUCCGGAGUCAGGUCAGAUCUCUGGGUCUGGAUGCUGGUCUCUGAUCCGGAGUCAGGUCAGAUCUCUGGAAGCUGGUCUCUGAUCCGGGGAAUGGACCACAAACCACCGCUGUGCUGCUGUCGGUUAUUGUUUUAUAUCUAAUUGAAUGUAACAUUCUUUAUGGCAGUCCUGGUUCUUCUUCCACCCCUUGGAUUUGUAACCUGUUGCGGUUCUUUGAAGACAUCUUCGAACUGUAAACAGACUAGGUGGAGAAAUGAGGCGGGUCCGCUAGGCCGGGUCGGACCGGUUCCACACAACUUAAAGGUCACAUGACAUGCCACCAGGUGUGAGUGUGAUAAGCUGUUACAAGCCGUUUUGAAAAUCGGUCUCUUAUGACAUCGCAAGUGGGCGUGUCCCCCUAGAUGUGUGACGGAUAGAUGAGAAACAUUUGCUACAGUCCACUGGGUAGGCUGGUAGACUGAUCUAUCCAGCACACAUCUAGGUGGACACGCCCACUUGUGAUGUCAUAAGAGACAGAUUUUCAAAACGGCUUGUAACGGCUAAUCACACUCACACCUGGUGGCAUGUCAUGGGACCUUUAAAAUCAAAGGGUCUGUUGUUUGUACCAGUGUGAAAUUCUCUGUUGAGCUUCCGAAAACCUGUUUUAUUUUUCCUUCCCGACCCAGGAAGAACUGGUUCAUUCCGGUGCCUUAGCGCGAGGCUGAUGACAGGCGUUAAAAUGGCGGCGCGAGUAGCAGAGAUACGACGUGAAUGUGACUUUGUCGGUUGGCCGUCUAUCAAUGGCUAUUGAAUGUAACAUGAAUGUAAUGUAUAAAGGAUGUUUAUAUUCAGA
Long non-coding RNA from Gadus macrocephalus (Pacific cod), 1014 nucleotides. RefSeq lists it as uncharacterized. Lineage: Eukaryota; Metazoa; Chordata; Actinopteri; Gadiformes; Gadidae. The transcript is spliced from 2 exons. The record is from RefSeq and is a predicted model, not a curated record.